UACGUAGGGUGCGAGCGUUAAUCGGAAUUACUGGGCGUAAAGCGUGCGCAGGCGGUGCACUAAGCCAGACGUGAAAGCCCCGGGCUUAACCUGGGAAUGGCGUUUGGGACUGGUGUGCUGGAGUAAGGCAGAGGGGGGUGGAAUUCCAGGUGUAGCAGUGAAAUGCGUAGAUAUCUGGAGGAACACCAAUGGCGAAGGCAGCCCCCUGGGCUAUUACUGACGCUCAUGCACGAAAGCGUGGGGAGCAAACAGG
Molecule: ribosomal RNA, 253 nt
Filed under: uncultured bacterium
Lineage: Bacteria
Description: partial 16S ribosomal RNA
Rfam family: Bacterial small subunit ribosomal RNA
Source: RNAcentral